AUGGAAAGCUGGCGGCAGGCCUAACACAUGCAAGUCGAACGGUAACAGGAAGCAGCUUGCUGCUUUGCUGACGAGUGGCGGACGGGUGAGUAAUGUCUGGGAAACUGCCCGAUGGAGGGGGAUAACUACUGGAAACGGUAGCUAAUACCGCAUAACGUCGCAAGACCAAAGAGGGGGACCUUAGGGCCUCUUGCCAUCGGAUGUGCCCAGAUGGGAUUAGCUAGUAGGUGGGGUAACGGCUCACCUAGGCGACGAUCCCUAGCUGGUCUGAGAGGAUGACCAGCCACACUGGAACUGAGACACGGUCCAGACUCCUACGGGAGGCAGCAGUGGGGAAUAUUGCACAAUGGGCGCAAGCCUGAUGCAGCCAUGCCGCGUGUAUGAAGAAGGCCUUCGGGUUGUAAAGUACUUUCAGCGGGGAGGAAGGGAGUAAAGUUAAUACCUUUGCUCAUUGACGUUACCCGCAGAAGAAGCACCGGCUAACUCCGUG
Molecule: ribosomal RNA, 490 nt
Filed under: uncultured bacterium
Lineage: Bacteria
Description: partial 16S ribosomal RNA
Rfam family: Bacterial small subunit ribosomal RNA
Source: RNAcentral